RNAcentral lists this unclassified non-coding RNA (20 nucleotides) under Mus musculus (house mouse). RNAcentral's name for it is "oocyte_clustered_small_RNA8235". The record is from RNAcentral. Lineage: Eukaryota; Metazoa; Chordata; Mammalia; Rodentia; Muridae.
UCCAGUCGAGCUGAGGCGUG